Long non-coding RNA from Oreochromis aureus, 1211 nucleotides. The record is from Ensembl. NCBI's taxonomy places the organism in Eukaryota, Metazoa, Chordata, Actinopteri, Cichliformes, Cichlidae.
AAGAACGCUUGGACACUGCUAGCAUAAUGGACAGGUUUUUGACGGGGCGCCCACACAAACGCAAAGCAGAAGAUGAAGCAUCGCCAAAUAUGUUUCCAAGCCAAAGACUAGAAAAUAUGGUGAAGCAUGUCUUCCCUUUGGGUUCACAUGGACAAGUGCCAAGGUAGGUUUGACGCCUCUGCCUUUCUAAAUGGAGGGACAGUAACUGCGUGUGUAUAUGUAAGCGUGUAAAACCUGCAGAUAGUCAGAUUAACAGGAUUUUGUCUCUAUCUGCAAUUCAUCUCAUGUAAACAAUAACAUGGCGCACAGCAUGACGUGAAAAAAGGCACAUACCUUUGACGUUGCAUGACGAACUCUGUAUUCCUCGUCCACACGUAAAGGCAAAAAAGGAGUUUUAAAAAAAUCUGUUUUCGGUGAUUCGAUACGCCGUUUACGUGUGGACGAAAGGCCCAAAACGCAUAGAAACAGCUGCAUUUUCAAAAAUACCCAUGUAGGUGUGGACGUAGCGUAAGAGAGUUUUAUUACUAACCGUAAUCUAUUGCGGUUUACUUUUAUUUGCUUAAUUGUUUACUAAAUGUUUGAGGUGUGAAAUAAACCGCAAUGGAGCAAAAUAUGGGUGUGUGUGGUUGGAGGAUGUGUUUACGUGGUGGUGGUGGGGGGCACGAACAUUUUUCUUGUAAAACAAAGGGGGGCCUAGCAAACAAAGUUUGGGAUCCACUGGUUUAGACGACCCCAAAUAUGUUCAGACAUGUGGGAAGUUAAGGUCAGAGGUCAAGUUUCCUGGAAACUUGACUCACAUGACCCCUAUGAUUUUCAUAUUGCUAUCACAUCUGUCUGUCCUACAUUUUGCUGCUUCCAUCAAAGUCAAAAUGAGCUAAUGUUGUUCUGAAAAUGACACUUUCUCAGUUUAAACUUUUCAAAUGUUCUGCUGUGAAUAUAAUGUGGGUUUAUUGGAUUUGCACAUACUGCUUUUUGUCAUUUAUGUAUAUAUAUUUUGUACAUUGAAACUUUGGGUGGCUGGCCUAUAGUGUGUGUGUGUGUGUGUGUGUGUGUGUGAGAGAGACGACAUACAAGCAAUAAUGUAAAGAAAAUGUGAAUGAAUAAGUUUGUAUUUAUAAAUGUUUUAUAAAUGUUACUUUUCAUCGCUCUGUAAAGCAUUAACAGAGAGAGAUGACUGUGUGAUGAUUAAAUCAAUAAACAUGAUACUGAAG